UAGACGCAGGUCAUCAACCUGCAUCGAUUACGUCCCUGCCCUUUGUACACAUCGCCCGUCGCUUCUACCGAUUGGUCGUCCCGGUGAACAAUCGGGAGGGCGCGCACCAGGUCAGCAAUGGCCGGCGCGCGUCCGAACUUUUGUAAAUUUGGUCGACUAGAGGAAGAAGAAGUCGUAACAAGGUUUCCGUAGGUGAACCUGCGGAAGGAU
This 210-nucleotide ribosomal RNA is filed under the name Polymyxa graminis f. sp. tepida. RNAcentral's name for it is "partial 18S ribosomal RNA". It matches the Rfam family "Eukaryotic small subunit ribosomal RNA", at positions 1618 to 1826 of the family's 1831-position model. Lineage: Eukaryota; Endomyxa; Phytomyxea; Plasmodiophorida; Plasmodiophoridae. The record is from RNAcentral.